Molecule: small nucleolar RNA, 82 nt
Filed under: Oncorhynchus kisutch (coho salmon)
Lineage: Eukaryota; Metazoa; Chordata; Actinopteri; Salmoniformes; Salmonidae
Source: RNAcentral
GUUGUCAGUGAUGUUUACCAAAGUAAAUAUUCGAGUUUAACGACCAUGAGAAUACUUUACAUGCACUACCAUCUGAGACAUA